Papaver somniferum (opium poppy) is the source of this 125-nucleotide small nucleolar RNA. RefSeq annotates it as small nucleolar RNA SNORD14. The transcript has a single exon. Lineage: Eukaryota; Viridiplantae; Streptophyta; Magnoliopsida; Ranunculales; Papaveraceae. The record is from RefSeq and is a predicted model, not a curated record.
UGUUUAUGAUAUUAGUCCAAGGCUUGUUUCUCAAGAACAUUCGCAGUUGCCGAUUAAGAGCUUUUCGCCUUUCACCGGGCUUGAGAGCUAAUGCUGCUUUAUUCCUUCCUUGGAUUUCUGGAACA